RNAcentral lists this ribosomal RNA (497 nucleotides) under uncultured bacterium. RNAcentral describes it as "partial 16S ribosomal RNA". It matches the Rfam family "Bacterial small subunit ribosomal RNA", at positions 28 to 507 of the family's 1533-position model. The record is from RNAcentral.
GAUGAACGCUGGCGGCGUGCCUAAUACAUGCAAGUCGAGCGAACGGACGAGAAGCUUGUUUCUCUGAUGUUAGCGGCGGACGGGUGAGUAACACGUGGAUAACCUACCUAUAAGACUGGGAUAACUUCGGGAAACCGGAGCUAAUACCGGAUAAUAUUUUGAACCGCAUGGUUCAAAAGUGAAAGACGGUCUUGCUGUCACUUAUAGAUGGAUCCGCGCUGCAUUAGCUAGUUGGUAAGGUAACGGCUUACCAAGGCAACGAUGCAUAGCCGACCUGAGAGGCUGAUCGGCCACACUGGAACUGAGACACGGUCCAGACUCCUACGGGAGGCAGCAGUAGGGAAUCUUACGCAAUGGGCGAAAGCCUGACGGAGCAACGCCGCGUGAGUGAUGAAGGUCUUCGGAUCGUAAAACUCUGUUAUUAGGGAAGAACAUAUGUGUAAGUAACUGUGCACAUCUUGACGGUACCUAAUCAGAAAGCCACGGCUAACUACGUG